Molecule: ribosomal RNA, 692 nt
Filed under: uncultured Neisseriales bacterium
Lineage: Bacteria; Pseudomonadati; Pseudomonadota; Betaproteobacteria; Neisseriales
Description: bacterial SSU rRNA
Rfam family: Bacterial small subunit ribosomal RNA
Source: RNAcentral
CGAACGGCAGCGAGGAGAAGCUUGCUUCUCUGUCGGCGAGUGGCGAACGGGUGAGUAUAGCAUCGGAACGUGCCAAGUAGUGGGGGAUAACCAAACGAAAGUUUGGCUAAUACCGCGUAAGCUCCAAGGAGGAAAGUAGGGGACCUAAAUAAGGCCUUACGCUAUUUGAUCGGCCGAUGUCGGAUUAGCUAGUUGGUGGGGUAAUGGCUCACCAAGGCAAUGAUCCGUAGCGGGUCUGAGAGGACGAUCCGCCACACUGGGACUGAGACACGGCCCAGACUCCUACGGGAGGCAGCAGUGGGGAAUUUUGGACAAUGGGGGAAACCCUGAUCCAGCCAUGCCGCGUGUAUGAAGAAGGCCUUAGGGUUGUAAAGUACUUUUGUUAGGGAAGAGAAGCUAGUUUUUAAUAAAAAUUAGUGAUGACGGUACCUAAAGAAUAAGCACCGGCUAACUACGUGCCAGCAGCCGCGGUAAUACGUAGGGUGCAAGCGUUAAUCGGAAUUAUUGGGCGUAAAGCGAGUGCAGACGGUUACUUAAGCCAGAUGUGAAAUCCCCAAGCUUAACUUGGGACGUGCAUUUGGAACUGGGUGACUAGAGUGUGUCAGAGGGAGGUAGAAUUCCACAUGUAGCGGUGGAAUGCGUAGAGAUGUGGAGGAAUACCGAUGGCGAAGGCAGCCUCCUGGGAUAACACU